Molecule: unclassified non-coding RNA, 343 nt
Filed under: soil metagenome
Description: partial contains 5.8S ribosomal RNA, internal transcribed spacer 2, and large subunit ribosomal RNA
Rfam family: 5.8S ribosomal RNA (bases 1-120)
Source: RNAcentral
GAUGAAGAACGUAGCGAAAUGCGAUAAGUAAUGUGAAUUGCAGAAUUCAGUGAAUCAUCGAAUCUUUGAACGCACAUUGCGCCCGCCGGUAUUCCGGCGGGCAUGCCUGUUCGAGCGUCAUUUCAACCAUCAAGCCCUGGGCUUGUGUUGGGGACCUGCGGCUGCCGCAGGCCCUGAAAUGCAGUGGCGGGCUCGCAAGACACACCGAGCGUAGUAGCUUACAACCUCGCUUUGGGAGUGCUGCGGGUGCUGGCCGUAAAGCGACCUUUGCGUCUUUAGCACUAGGUUGACCUCGGAUCAGGUAGGAGGACCCGCUGAACUUAAGCAUAUCAAAAGCGGAGGA